This 1881-nucleotide long non-coding RNA is filed under the name Oncorhynchus kisutch (coho salmon). RNAcentral describes it as "lncRNA (ENSOKIG00005007820.1)". The record is from RNAcentral. Lineage: Eukaryota; Metazoa; Chordata; Actinopteri; Salmoniformes; Salmonidae.
UAUCGGAGUUAGGGAUAGUUCUCUAUCAAAAACUUCAUUGCUUUUGGAAUCUUCUCUUCUCCCUGACUGUCUAGCUUUCAUUUUGAUGACGGUUAGCAAGCUGGACAAACUGAACAUAGUAGAAAUGUAUCAUUUCUACACGGUUUCCAUUUGACACAUCUCUCAUCAACUCUGAUUCGCUGGCUCUUCUGAUUCGCUGUCCCUUCUGAUUCGCUGGCUCUUCUGAUUCGCUGGGUUUUCUGAUUCGCUGGGUUUUCUGAUUCGCUGGGUUUUCUGAUUCGCUGGCUCUUCUGAUUCCCUGGCUCUUCUGAUUCGCUGGGUUUUUCUGAUUCGCUGGCUCUCCUGAUUCGCUGGCUCUUCUGAUUCCCUGGCUCUUCUGAUUCGCUGGCUCUUCUGAUUCGCUGGUUCUUCUGAUUCGCUGGCUCUUCUGAUUCGCUGGCUCUUCUGAUUCGCUGGCUCAUGUUCUAUUGAGGCUCAAAGUCAGAAUGUCUCCUUCUAGAGAGAAUAAAAUUCUAUGGUACUCCAAUAUCCUUUUACAGGUGGUGUCCCUCCCUAAACUGAUGGAAGUAGUGGUUCCAGCCCCGUCAUUGGCUACCAGCUUCCCCUGUAAGCAGUGUGGAAAGAUGUUCUACAAGAUAAAGAGUCGUAACGCCCAUAUGAAGAUCCAUCGGCAGCAGCAGGACGACUGGAGACACCCAGGCCUCGGCCUCAACCCAGCCCAGAACCUCACCUCCAACCUGGGCACCAAUUUACCCCAUUGCCAGGCUUCAGGUCGGGCCUACCUCCCAGGCCCCAUCAACAACAACAGCAUUCACCAUAUUGGUGGUGCUCACACCAUCAUCAGCGACAUCAGCGUUCCGAACACCAAUACCGUAACCAAUAGCAACAGUGUCACUGUCAAUGACUCCACCUCUAAUCAGAGGGGACCUGCUCCCCUCCUCUCUCUCCACCACUCGUGGGACUCGUUUCAGGUGAACUCUGACCCUGCGGCGGUAUUCUUCUGUGACCCGGAAGUGAAAGCUGUGCUCGGAGUCAUGGGGGAGGUGUGAAAGGUCAAAUCUUGUGGAAUUAGUAUCAGAGAUACUGUAUAUAAUGAUGAGAUGGUCUUGUCUCUGCCCUAACAAUGGGAGUCAUUGUCGCGAAGACAGAAAGGCAGGCGAGAGGAGGCGAGAUCAGAUGGGAAUAUUCUAGCCAAUGAGAGGGCAGAUACGAUCAGGUGGGAAUAUUCUAGCCAAUGAGAGGGCAGAUACAACUGUGAACAAUAGACACAACUCCAACAUAAAAGGUUUUCUUAAAGUUGCCGAGAUGUCUCGUGCAUCCACUUUUAUAUCAGUACCUUCGUAACAACCUAAACAUGAACAAAACUUCUAUUCGAUCAAAUAAGCCUUACUUAACAAAUUAACAACACUAUCUCAUAAACCUUGAUACAAAAAAAUCCCCAUUUUGGUCUGCUUAUCGCUAUAUUCUCUCUGUCAGAUUUUGACGGGAGUGGAGCCUCUCACUUCGCCUCUUCCUCUCUGGUAGUAUUCUAGAAUCAGAACAGACAGACAUAAUUCACUUCCUUUCUCUACUGCUUGGUUUUGGUACGGUCAAAGACGUAAAUAAAGAGUUUUUGUACAUUUGUACAGUUUUUGUAUUUGUAUUUAAAUACUUUGAGUUGCUUUGCGUUUCAUAAAAAUAAAAAAUAAAUAAAAAUAAAUAUAUAUAUAUAUAUAAAUGUGUGUUUUUGUAUCUUACUCCAUUUCCCUCACACACACACAUGAACACACUCAACCGUCAGAGGGUAGAUAUUGACAUAGACAGACUAAUGUUGACAAGGGGGUGCACAUUCUGUCUCUACUGCUCUCUAAGUGGCUAUGGACCUCGACGAUGUUGUGUAAG